GACCGCUCAGGUGGCCUAGUGGUUAGAGCUUCCCCCCUCAGAUGUGGGAGCUCGCGGGUUCAAACCCCGGUCGAGUCA
This is a non-coding RNA of Potamilus streckersoni, 78 nucleotides long. NCBI's taxonomy places the organism in Eukaryota, Metazoa, Mollusca, Bivalvia, Unionida, Unionidae. The record is from the annotation of a GenBank genome assembly.